This 253-nucleotide ribosomal RNA is filed under the name uncultured bacterium. Its description in RNAcentral is "partial 16S ribosomal RNA". It matches the Rfam family "Bacterial small subunit ribosomal RNA", at positions 524 to 776 of the family's 1533-position model. The record is from RNAcentral.
UACAGAGGGGGCAAGCGUUGUUCGGAAUUAUUGGGCGUAAAGGGCUCGUAGGCGGUUUGUCGCGUCGGGAGUGAAAAUCCAGGGCUUAACUCUGGACUGGCUUCCGAUACGGGCAGACUAGAGGUAUGCAGGGGAGAACGGAAUUCCUGGUGUAGCGGUGAAAUGCGCAGAUAUCAGGAGGAACACCGGUGGCGAAGGCGGUUCUCUGGGCAUUACCUGACGCUGAGGAGCGAAAGUGUGGGGAGCGAACAGG